Molecule: ribosomal RNA, 247 nt
Filed under: uncultured bacterium
Lineage: Bacteria
Description: partial 16S ribosomal RNA
Rfam family: Bacterial small subunit ribosomal RNA
Source: RNAcentral
AGAUGGCGACCGGCGCACGGGUGAGUAACACGUAUCCAACCUGCCGAUAACUCGGGGAUAGCCUUUCGAAAGAAAGAUUAAUACCCGAUGGUAUAAUCAGACCGCAUGGUUUGAUUAUUAAAGAAUUUCGGUUAUCGAUGGGGAUGCGUUCCAUUAGGCAGUUGGUGAGGUAACGGUUCACCAAACCUUCGAUGGAUAGGGGUUCUGAGAGGAAGGUCCCCCACAUUGGAACUGAGACACGGUCCAA